UUGGGUAUCUGCCAGGCAGCAACGUACCUAAUUAAAGACUAUGUGAUAGCCGGAGCCCUAGCAGCGAUAUUGUGACCAUGAAGGAUGUAGCUACAUACCAGAAAGGGAAUCCCCCAUACUGAGCUGACUUUUGAUCAGAGUGAAGAGUUCUGGAAUUUGCUGUGAAAUGCCCACUUCCUGUUUAUUAAUGAAGGUUGAAGGACAUUAGUCCUUCCUGCUAAUUGCAACUUUCUCUACCCUAUGCUAUUAACUCGUCUACAAUGAUUCCAGGGUUACUUCAUGCUCCUUUGCCCCAAUUACAAUGACCACACCCAUAUCUUAAGCUAAACCUCAAAUCCCACAGUGGUUUAUUUCCUACUCAUUUCAGGAUUAAAUUGAAAAAGAUGA
Molecule: long non-coding RNA, 387 nt
Organism: Panthera uncia (snow leopard)
Lineage: Eukaryota; Metazoa; Chordata; Mammalia; Carnivora; Felidae
Exons: 2
Source: RefSeq, a predicted model, not a curated record